GGGAGGCAGCAGUGGGGAAUAUUGCACAAUGGGCGAAAGCCUGAUGCAGCGACGCCGCGUGCGGGAUGACGGCCUUCGGGUUGUAAACCGCUUUUGAUUGGGAGCAAGCGAGAGUGAGUGUACCUUUCGAAUAAGCACCGGCUAACUACGUGCCAGCAGCCGCGGUAAUACGUAGGGUGCAAGCGUUAUCCGGAUUUAUUGGGCGUAAAGAGCUCGUAGGCGGUUCGUCGCGUCUGGUGUGAAAGUCCAUCGCUUAACGGUGGAUCGGCGCCGGGUACGGGCGGACUGGAGUGCGGUAGGGGAGACUGGAAUUCCCGGUGUAACGGUGGAAUGUGUAGAUAUCGGGAAGAACACCGAUGGCGAAGGCAGGUCUCUGGGCCGUCACUGACGCUGAGGAGCGAAAGCGUGGGGAGCGAACAGGAUUAGAUACCCUGGUAGUCCACGCCGUAAACGGUGGAUGCUGGAUGUGGGGCCCGUUCCACGGGUUCCGUGUCGGAGCUAACGCGUUAAGCAUCCCGCCUGGGGAGUACGGCCGCAAGGCUAAAACUCAAAGAAAUUGACGGGGGCCCGCACAAGCGGCGGAGCAUGCGGAUUAAUUCGAUGCAACGCGAAGAACCUUACCUGGGCUUGACAUGUGCCGGACGGCCGCGGAGACGCGGCUUCCCUUCGGGGCCGGUUCACAGGUGGUGCAUGGUCGUCGUCAGCUCGUGUCGUGAGAUGUUGGGUCAAGUCCCGCAACGAGCGCAACCCUCGCCUCGUGUUGCCAGCACGUCAUGGUGGGAACUCACGGGGGACCGCCGGGGUUAACCCGGAGGAAGGUGGGGAUGACGUCAGAUCAUCAUGCCCCCUUAC
This 852-nucleotide ribosomal RNA is filed under the name Bifidobacterium sp. 7_10_1CO2. RNAcentral describes it as "bacterial SSU rRNA". It matches the Rfam family "Bacterial small subunit ribosomal RNA", at positions 343 to 1205 of the family's 1533-position model. The record is from RNAcentral. Lineage: Bacteria; Bacillati; Actinomycetota; Actinomycetes; Bifidobacteriales; Bifidobacteriaceae.